This is a long non-coding RNA of Ruditapes philippinarum (Manila clam), 2161 nucleotides long. RefSeq lists it as uncharacterized. The transcript has 2 exons. The record is from RefSeq and is a predicted model, not a curated record. NCBI's taxonomy places the organism in Eukaryota, Metazoa, Mollusca, Bivalvia, Venerida, Veneridae.
UACAUCUAUAUCCAUUUGGGUUUUACGUCACACCGACACAGUAUAGGUCAUAUGGCAUUAUUUCAGGCACAAACGGACACCUGAGUAGAACUACUGACGUUCUGUAAGCUAGCUGGAUAGCUUCCUGAUAUGAAAGAAUCAAAAUUCCCUGUUGGGAUUCGAACCCCCAUUCGAAUCCAUCUCCUAGAGAUCAAAGUUGACUGGUAUACUAAAUAUUUUAUGAAUAAGAAUAGGAAAUGUCAGAAGUCCUGUAAUGUACAUUUUUUUAAUCAUUUUGUUUUACUGCCAAAAAUUAUUUUUUGGUUUUUGAGAAGAUGGAAGUUUUAACUAAAACUUAAUGUAGCAUGCUAACCUGUUACUGCAUCCAUUUUGUCCACACUAAAAUCAGGCUGAUUUAGAUCAUUCUCAAAUAUGUCCUGUAACACACUGUAUGUCUUUGUCUCGUCCUUCCUAUUAACAUAUAAACAUACAUAUAUUUAUUUUGUUUGGUGAUACAAUAAAGGUCAUAUUAAGAUUUUCCAGCUUUUUAAGUUAUGGAGAAAAAACCCAGUGAGCCCUUUCUCUAAAAAGGCAAUAGGUUAAGUUUUUGUAUGAUUUUCUCCUGCUUAAAAUCUAUGUUUUACUGUUAUAAAUUCAUGAAAACAUUAAGAGUUUGGUGCAAUAAUUAUGCAUCUGCAAUUUUGAAAAAAAAAAUCAAUAGUAUUGCAUCAAACCCACAAAAUACUUUACUUUGUUUGAAGACCUGGAUUUGAGACAGAUUACUAUAAUUAUCAGUGCCAUAAUUGAUUGUAACAAAGUCACUGGACUUAAUUUCCUCUGCAUCAUAUGAUGAGUAUUAGUCAUAUAGUGGAAGUCAUUAUAGUCUUACCAAGUUGGGACAAGAGAGAAUGAAAAGCAGGGACAUUUGUUAAUCUGUCCUCACAUGAUUCAGGGCUUCCAUUAUUAGUUCCAAAAUUUGGAAGUCAGACACUGCAAAAUGUCUGAAAUUGGAACCAGAGCAGAGUGCAUUACUGGUACUGGAACUGCAGUGCAUGCUGCAGCGAUUUUGCAAGUUCUGGUACUGAUACUGAAUUACUCUUAAAAAAUUUUGAUACUACUGUCCUAAAAAAUGGUACUGCUACUGCAUAACAAGGCAGUACUUUAGUUUUCAUAAAAUUGUCAUCAAUUUUUCUCUUAAAGUAAAGCUGUAAAUUCCAUGUAUUAUUCUAUUAUUUUAGUGAAAAGGUAAAUUAUCAAAUCUAUAGAUACUUUGCUGCAAUAUUCCUUCAAAUGUUAAUGUAAUAUUCAUCAUAAAAAGAAGGACCAAAGACUUGAAGUAAAAAUUAAAUUGAGAUAAAAAGACUCACUAACUCUUUAUCUUAAAAUAUCAUUAUUACAAUCUUUUAUUACUUUGUAUUUAGUAGACUAAGUACAAAAACAAAAAUAUAUAAACACUAAUUAAUUGCUUCUAUUCUAAAUAAUCCUAUUUCAAGUGAUAUUGUUUAGCACCAUAAAAAAUUGUUAUUUACUUUGGUAUAAAUUGAACAGAGGUGUGAACAAAAGACUGUGUUUUAAAUGAAAGAUGAUUGCAUUGUAUUACAGAUGACUGGUUACUAAACAAUAAGAUAUGACAUGAAUAUAUGUUUUAAAUAUUGUUUGUAAAAAGAAUGUUAAAUCAUUAAAGUUGUAAAAUGUAAUGUUAACUUUAAAGUAAAUAAUGGUUUUAUUUCUUUGCUUGGAUAAUGGUUGCAAUUAUUGUGUUUGACCGUGUAUUUAUUCAAACUUUGAUGAAGAUACAAAAGUAAUGGUACUGAUACUUAAUUACUCCUCCCCCCCCCCCCCCUAAAAAAAAAUCAAAAAAUAAUCUAGUACUGGUACUGGUAAUGGUACUGCAUAACUCGGCAAGUACUGGUACUUAAGUACUACACCCUAAAGUACUGAUGCAGCUCUAAUUGGAAGUUACAUUAUGUAGGUACAUGUAUAGAAGGUAAAGCAUUGUAUUUUGAAAGUUAUACAAGUCAAAAUUAGGAAUUAAUGACUUCCAAACUACCCCUAAUGGAAGCCCUGGUGAUUUUAUAUGCAAAGAUGACUUAUAGGAGCUCUAAGGCUUUAAACUAACAAAUUGGCAGACACUCACAAGAAGAUGUUUCACGCAAAAUAUCUAAGCUCUUGCUCUUAGGUC